GAUUUGGCCGAAAGGCCUCAUUUCGAUUCUCACAACACCUGUGAACUGUAGGGGCCUCCGGGCCUCCCAUUACAAACAUUAGUGUAACGAACGUCAAAUGUAUCUUAACAUAAAUAAAACUUUCAACAACGGAUCUCUUGGCUCU
RNAcentral lists this unclassified non-coding RNA (145 nucleotides) under rhizosphere metagenome. Its description in RNAcentral is "partial ribosomal RNA internal transcribed spacer region". The record is from RNAcentral.